Brachypodium distachyon (stiff brome) is the source of this 856-nucleotide long non-coding RNA. RefSeq lists it as uncharacterized. The transcript has 3 exons. Lineage: Eukaryota; Viridiplantae; Streptophyta; Magnoliopsida; Poales; Poaceae. The record is from RefSeq and is a predicted model, not a curated record.
ACACCUGCUCUGAUGCACUGGGCUGCCUCAGGCCUCAAGCCCAACCAAAAAAAGUUUUUUACGGUACCUUUUAUACUGAGGCCUGACCGGAGGAAGCCCAUCAGGCCCAAAACUGCGAUCGUUCGCAUCUCGCCCAUCGUGAGAAAAAAACGCAGCGUCGCUCUUCCCGUGAUCCCGUCGCCGUCACCGCCCCCUCUCAGCCGCCGCCGCCCCCUUCGUCCGGUGUAAGCGGUGCCGCGCCGUCCCGUCGCCGUCGCAGCCCCCUUCAGCCGGUGCCACGGAGCUGGCCCGUCGCUGUCACCGUCACCGCCCUCUUCAGCGGGUGCCACCGGCGGAGCCUGGCGCCUCCCCCGCCCUGCUUCACACAUGGAUACAGCAGAAUCCUUAUAACAAGAUUGUUAAUUACUGUAUGGUCUGCUCCUAAUUAUUUCUUCAGGUGUGGCCGUCGGGAUGUAUAAAUCGGUUGUUCUGUGCCCAUCCAGGUCGAUUGUUUGUAAUGAAGUUGAUGCUCCCAUUUGAGCUUUUGAGAAAAUGCCUCUGCCAAGGGAGUGGUGUAGACGAAGCCUAUGGGGACAAGAUGUGAAAUUUUGAUACCACUUCAUCCCCAGGAAAUCCAUUUGCUAGAAUGUAGAAUCGUAUGCAAAAUGUGUACCUUGAGUUAAUCUGUUGUUGCACUGCAGUUGUAGGAUUUUUUUUGUAGUUUUCGUGUUUUGCGUGAAACUGCUCUAAGAAAACAUAUUUUACAGUAAUAUGAUUGAAGCUGUUAUGAGAAUGUGUAACGGUUGCCAAGUUGGGAUUGUUGUACCCUACAGAUGAGACCUUAAUCUUCUUUUCUCUUUCUUUGAGAAAGACGAGA